CGGGGUGCAGCAGGCGCGAAAACUCUACAAUGCAGGCAACUGCGAUAGGGGAACAUCGAGUGGCGUCCAUAUUGGAUGUCUGUCCUCCCGCCUAAAAAGCGGGAGUUAGCAAGGGCCGGGCAAGACCGGUGCCAGCCGCCGCGGUAAUACCGGCGGCUCGAGUGGUGGCCGAUAUUAUUGAGUCUAAAGGGUCCGUAGCCGGCUUUGCAAGUCUCUCGGGAAAUCCAGCGGCUUAACCGUUGGUCGUCCGGGGGGUACUACAUUGCUUGGGACUGGGAGAGGUAGGAGGUACUCAGGGGGUAGGAGUGAAAUCCUGUAAUCCUUUGGGGACCACCGGUGGCGAAGGCGUCCUACCAGAACAGGUCCGACGGUGAGGGACGAAAGCUAGGGGCACGAACCGGAUUAGAUACCCGGGUAGUCCUAGCCGUAAACGAUGCUCGCUAGGUGUCACAACAGUCGUGAACUGUUGUGGUGCCGUAGGGAAGCCGUGAAGCGAGCCACUUGGGAAGUACGACCGCAAGGUUGAAACUUAAAGGAAUUGGCGGGGGAGCACAAGGGCGAAUU
Molecule: ribosomal RNA, 564 nt
Filed under: uncultured archaeon
Lineage: Archaea
Description: bacterial SSU rRNA
Rfam family: Archaeal small subunit ribosomal RNA
Source: RNAcentral